GCAGUGAAAGCCCAGAAUCCUAACCACUAGGCCACCAGGAAACUUCCCCUAUAAAAUGCUUUGAUUUCAUUAUUUUCAUGACAAUUCUGUAAAGUAAUAUUACCUUCUUAUUUUUUCUAAGUGGAAACUAAGAAGCAGUCCUGUGCUGGGUGCUGGGCCCAGAGUAGGGGCAGCGUCCUGGGAGCAGGGGUAGGUCUUGGUGAGAGGAAGACAGACAAGACUGGAGAAAAAGCUACUUGGGGAGAAGCAGAUCAUCCAAGAGAAUGGUCAGUCCAAAAGACUUCAUGGACUGAGAAUGAAAGUCUGUCUCAGGGACUGAAGUCAGCAGAAUUGGGGUCAAAUUGGGACCAGGAAGACUCUGUACCUUUAAUAAGGUGGGCUGCAAAGAAAGCUAUAAAACUGUUUUAAAUUUUAGUUCUAAGAAGGGAUUUUUUUUUUCUUUUUUAUUCUUUUAGCCAAACAAAGAUUAUUUUCAAAAUUGUGCACAAGGGCUUCCCUGGUAGUCCAGGGAUUAAAAAUCCACCUGCCAAUGCAGGGACAUAGAUUCACUCCCUGUCCAGGAAGAUUCCACAUGCUGCGGAGCCACUAAGUUCACUCGACACAACUACUGAGCCCAGGUGCUGCAACUGCUGAAGCCUGCACGCUGGGGCCCAAGCUCCCCCCAAAGAGGAGCCACUCAAUGAGAAGCCCACGCACCACAAUUAGAGAGUAGCUCUUGCUCGCUGCAACCAGAGAAAAGCCUGCACAGCAACAAGGACCCAGCACAGCCAAAAGUAAAUAAAAUACAUAAAAAAUAUUUUUAAAUAGUGGACAAAAUAUGUUGGCUCAGGUUUCAGCUAUCCACAUUCCUCUCUCAUAUGGCAUCUAGUGGGGUCAUUUACACAAGAUACUAGUGUAAAAAUCUGGUCAUAAAAGGCUGUGUUUCAGGGCAGUGGCUUUGGGCAUCAGUCCUAGACUGUCCGCAGUCACUGAGGUCUUUUUAUGAGGCUGCCCUGAGAUGCGUCAGUCCAUUUUCCUAAGUAUGUCAGGCUACAUCCACAUCCCAGUACAGAUUCCUUAGGGAUCCAUAAUACUUGUCCAGUACAAAAAUGUUCAACUGCAGGCGAAUUGAGCAGAGAAAUAACUGGCAAGGCCAUUCCUUCUCCUGCAGGAGUUGAAGAUCAAGGAGAGACCGGAGGACCCCAAACUGCCCAUCCUUUGAGUUGUGAGCUUUUCUGGGCUAUGAGGCCUCAUUCUCCGCCUUUGGAAACCAUCCUGGCAGAACUUCUGUUAAUGUUCUCCCAGCUGCCAGCAGCUGGUGCUCCAACACUUUCAAAAGACGGGUUGGGACCAAAUUAAGGAAAGACUCUCCAGCGGGUAGAGAGGAUAUAGGAGGAAUGUCACCCCUAGAUAAAAAGCCUGCACGUGACAAAACAGGAAUUUCUCUUGCAGUGAGGCAUGUUUAACUAGUUCAUUCUUUCGCCCUGCCCUGUGGUUUACCCUGUCUAAAAGCACCCUUAAAAGGGAACAGAUGAGGUUACAGAGCCUCUCUUUGGCGAUUUUCAUCGCACUUGGUCAGCCGGUUUAUGGAGGAAACCUGUCAAACAAGAAAUGUUACUGGGUGGCAAGAUGUUAAAACAGGCACCAGGGUAGGAGAAAGUAACACCAUCUCCGAACUGAAACAAAGUGCCUGUUCUCUCAAUGCUGGCACUCCUCAGUAGGGGAGCUUCUUGGGUUUGGCACACUGCCUUGGGUCUUAUCAAUACCUGAAUAACUUUGCAACAAGUGUUCAUUUCCAAAAAGAAACCACAGCUUUAUUAGCAAAAGUUGCGUCCCUUCUCACUGAUAAGAAUUUCAGUGUUAUAUUAAAUAUGACUGGCAGAGCACACCGGGGAAUAUAAGAACGGUGACUAGAAAUCCUUUCCUUCUUCAUAAGAGACAAGAGGCUUAAAAUCGAUAUGUUUGGAAGGAAUCGUGUGAAUGGUGUGAAUGAAUUUGAUAUUUAAAAUAGGAAGAAGGAAGGAUGACCUGUUCUUAAAGUCAGAAAGCAAGAUAACCCUGGACACCCUAUAGGGAGGAGGAUCAGGGGAUAUGAAGUGGAAAGAAGUUGAAAGGGGAAGAUGAAAAUACAAACGUAGACUUUUCAGUGAAUUAACCUGAUUGAUUUUCAUCUGUGUGCUAAGAAAUAGAAAUUGUGACCAAACGACUUAUUUGGCUGAUGUGUCAACAGUGACAAUGGUUUCAACUAGAAGUUGGUAGGUUGUCUUCUUUUUUUCUCCUCUGUGUAUGCCCUGUGAGUAUAAUUUGGUUAAAUUAUGUACUAUAACAUUCUAGAAUAUAAUUUUGUUUGGACCUAACCUAAAUUCAGUGUAGUAAGUGGGUUGAAAAUUUUGGAAAUUUUGCUUAACACCUAAAGGCUUGUAUAAAUUUCUGAUAAUUCAGAGUCUUUAUACUCACUUGCAUAUUAAUUUCUUUUCCUUUCACAUUUUUUAUAAAACAAAAUGAAAAAACUGUGCCUCAAAGUUUAAUAAAAUAUGAUUGUCACUACUCUCUUCGUCCUACUAUUACAUUUUUCUUUAACAAUAAAUAAAACUGGGAGAGGCUGAUGCUAUUAAUUCCAUUUAGUCUAUUGUUUCUUCACCUGGUCUGCUUUAGUCAGAAGAAAAUUUAUAUGUAUGUAUAUAUGUAAUAAAAUGUAUAAUAUAUAUAUAUAUAUUUCCCUUUUCAAAGUUUUUGCAACAUUUAAAAACAAAAUAGAUACUACAGUUUACACCUUAAACAGUAACUCCUGGGAUUAAAGGUACAUCAUGUAGCAACUGAACAACUGAAUUACCUUCUUUAAAAAUAUUGCUAAAAUAAAACAAAACAAAAGGAAAUAUUCACGCAUUCAGAUAUAUAUUACCAUUUCCUCUGAUUUAUUUGACUGGAAAAAGAGGCUGUGAUCUGCCAAUGUCCACAGGCUCUUGUGGGCUUAGUUGACAGUGUUUGCCUUCUCCAUAGCUACACUGCACAACUAAAUUAUCAAAUGAGUAAGGCAACUAAGAAUAAAGGGGGAGGGAAAUGACUGCUCCUCAGUGCUUGGCAGCACAAAAACACAGAGGUACCACUUUUAUUUUACAGAGUAGUGGGUCAAAUGAGUGUGCCUACACACUGUCAUGGGAAAUGGCCAAGGGAGUGUUCCCUUUGACUCUCUCCUCUCUGUACCUUCUUUGUAGAUGACCUCAUCCAUCCCAUGGCUUCACUGCCUUAUGGUGAUAAUUCUCAAACCUUUGUGGGGAGAAGACUGCUCACUGACGACCCCAGCGUCUGUCUCGAGUUUGCCUGACAAGGAGGAAACAUACAGUUUUAAGUGCACUCAAGGUGUCCUCAUGCCAUCAGCAUGAGUGGGCCACCUCCCUGAGCAGGUGGCCCCCAAGUUAGACUCUUUUUCUUCUAGUUGCAAGACCGCUCUUAUGCUCACCUUUGGAAAAUACUGCUUUUGAGUAGCAAGGGUGAGCUCAUAAUGACUGCACUGGGUCCUGCCCAAGGAUAUCCUAGGAUCACCAGACAUGACACCACGGCAUCUCCCUCCCGCCAGCCUGUGGUUCUGCCUGCACCGUGGGACACUCAGACGUUUGCCUGAGCCGUUCACUCAAUAAUCUGUAUCUUAAGCCUGGACUUGUCGCCUGAACUGCAGACUUUUAUAUCCUACUGUCUACUUGAAUUCCCUUCCUGAAUGUCCCACAGAUUCCUCAAAUUCAGCUCUUUCUUCCUCCUCUGAUGGACUUCCUUCAGUUAAUGGAAUCAUCACCCUCCCAAAUAUCUAGAGGCAAAACAUCAGAAUUGCUUUCAUUCAAUUCUGUCCCCUCUGUCCACAACCAAAAAAGAAAUUAAAGAAUUGCUGUUUAUACUUAUUGAAAAAAUAUGAAUAUUUGUGGGUUAUUAUGUGGUUAAUGUGGGCUUCCCUGGUGCCUCAGUCCGUAAAGAAUCUGCCUACAAUGUGGGAGACAUUUGAUCCCAAUGUUUGAUCCCUGGGUUGGGAAGAUCUCCUGGAAGAGGGCAUGGCAAACCACUCCAGUAUUCUUGCCUGGAGAAUCC
This 4056-nucleotide long non-coding RNA is filed under the name Capra hircus (goat). RNAcentral describes it as "lncRNA (ENSCHIG00010004405.1)". The record is from RNAcentral. Lineage: Eukaryota; Metazoa; Chordata; Mammalia; Artiodactyla; Bovidae.